AUUGAACGCUGGCGGAAUGCUUUACACAUGCAAGUCGAACGGCAGCACGGACUUCGGUCUGGUGGCGAGUGGCGAACGGGUGAGUAAUGUAUCGGAACGUGCCCAGUCGUGGGGGAUAACGUAGUGAAAAUUACGCUAAUACCGCAUACGAUCUAUGGAUGAAAGCGGGGGAUCGCAAGACCUCGCGCGAUUGGAGCGGCCGAUAUCAGAUUAGGUAGUUGGUGGGGUAAAGGCCCACCAAGCCAACGAUCUGUAGCUGGUCUGAGAGGACGACCAACCACAUUGGAACUGAGACGCGGUCCAGAAUCCUACGGGAGGCAGGAGUGGGGAAUUUUGGACAAUGGGCGAAAGCCUGAUCGAGCCAUUCCGCGUGAAGGAUGAAGGCCCUCGAGUUGUAAACUGCUUUUGUACAGAACGAAAAGGUUUCUACUAAUACUAGGAGCUCAUGACGGUACUGUAAGAAUAAGCACCGGCUAACUACGUGCCAGCAGCCGCCGUAA
RNAcentral lists this ribosomal RNA (500 nucleotides) under uncultured bacterium. RNAcentral's name for it is "partial 16S ribosomal RNA". It matches the Rfam family "Bacterial small subunit ribosomal RNA", at positions 30 to 523 of the family's 1533-position model. The record is from RNAcentral.